UCACGGCAGCGCUGGGGAUUGGCCUGUCUCGUCUCCUUCCUCACCGCACGGCAAGCCUCCCCCCUCUACCCCCGAUCCCAACCAAUCCGCAUCGACGGAUUUCGAUUGCUUCCAGCUCGGGCCUUCCAAUCGCUCGCACGCUUCCGUUUGCUUCGCAUUAUGAGUGCGCUUAACCUAGCAUUUGAUCUGAUUUAAUUUAAUUCUGCCGCUCCGCCCGAUUCCGAGGAGUCGACGGUAGUGGUGUUUGCGCGGCCAUGUCGGCCUCGUCCUCGGCGGCGGCGGCCCUGGAUGCCUGGUGGGACGAUGUGAACAACUCGCCGGUGUGGCAGGACCGUACCUUCCACGCCCUCGCCGCGCUCUACGGCGUCGUUGCAGUCGUAGCCCUAGUCCAACUGAUAAGAAUCGAGUGUAGGGUACCUGAGUUUGGGUGGACAACGCAGAAGGUGUUUCAUUUUCUAAACUUCAUUGUAAACAGCGUGAGGUCAACUGUGUUUGUACUGCGACGGAAUGUGCAACUUGUACACCCUGAGAUAUUCCAACAUGUGCUUAUUGAUUUGCCUGGCCUAGCUUUCUUCACGACCUAUGCUCUGUUGGUGCUCUUUUGGGCUGAAAUCUACUAUCAGGCACGUGCAAUGUCGACUGAUGGGCUCCGACCAGCUUUCUAUACGAUCAAUGGAGUGAUCUAUACCAUUCAGAUAGUACUGUGGUUGCUCACGUGGUGGAAACCAGUUCAAGCUGUGAUCAUUUUGUCGAAGAUGUUCUUUGCAGCUACAUCCUUAUUCGCUGCUUUUGGUUUCCUUCUCUACGGAGGGAGGCUCUUCCUGAUGUUGCAGCGUUUCCCUGUUGAGUCAAAAGGUCGGCGUAAAAAGUUGAAUGAGGUUGGUUAUGUGACUACCAUAUGCUUUGGUUGCUUCUUGAUCAGAUGUGUAAUGUUGGUCCGCGUGCACGGCUCCUCGACGGCGCGGAGCAGGAGACGAGGGUAGCGCGGAGCAAGAAAGGGCGCAACAGCUCUGGCGUGGAGAAGAAUGGGAGAGGUGAGGCGAUGGCGCGGUGGUGGGCGGAGGCGGAGUCACGAGUCUGCUUCUCUCUUUUAGCUGCUGGUUGAAAUUGUACCAUCGUCUCUGGUGCUGUUCAUCUUGAGGAAACUACCGCCAAAACGCGGGAUUGCACAGUACCAUCCAAUCCAUUAGACAGUAACAUCGAUGGUCCAUUUCUAACAGUUCCACCCAAGUGUUAAAGGAAAAAAAAAAGGCAAAUAUGAGAUAUGUUGUAGUGCCUUUUUUCUAGGUUAGUAGCUUUGUUGCAAAGAAAUCUUUCCUGAGUAUUGCAAAUUAUCUUGUUAAAAUUGUAAACUCCCGCUGUCACUGCAAUACCAAAUGUCACUAACACAACUGGUUCACCGAUACGGGUUUCCAUCUGUAAACUUAAGAACAAUCAAGGACUGAUUAUUUCUGGCAAUGGAAAAAGAAAAUGUGUUGAUAA
Molecule: RNA transcript, 1482 nt
Organism: Panicum virgatum (switchgrass)
Lineage: Eukaryota; Viridiplantae; Streptophyta; Magnoliopsida; Poales; Poaceae
Gene name: tobamovirus multiplication protein 3-like
Exons: 11
Source: RefSeq, a predicted model, not a curated record